ACAGCAGCAGCCGCGGUAAUACGAAGGGGGCUAGCGUUGUUCGGAAUUACUGGGCGUAAAGCGCGUGUAGGCGGGCGUUUAAGUCAGGGGUGAAAUGCCAAGGCUCAACCUUGGAACUGCCUUUGAUACUGAAUGUCUUGAGUCCGGGAGAGGUGAGUGGAACUGCGAGUGUAGAGGUGAAAUUCGUAGAUAUUCGCAAGAACACCAGUGGCGAAGGCGGCUCACUGGCCCGGAACUGACGCUGAGACGCGAAAGCGUGGGGAGCAAACAGGAUUAGAUACCCCAGUAGUCCCUGUCUCUUAUAC
RNAcentral lists this ribosomal RNA (305 nucleotides) under uncultured bacterium. RNAcentral's name for it is "partial 16S ribosomal RNA". It matches the Rfam family "Bacterial small subunit ribosomal RNA", at positions 505 to 807 of the family's 1533-position model. The record is from RNAcentral.